GGAGGAUUGCUUGGGCCUGGGAGGUCGAGGCUGCAGUGAGCUGUGAUCAUACCACUGCACUCCAGCCUGAGUGACAGAGUGAGACCAUGUCUC
RNAcentral lists this microRNA precursor (93 nucleotides) under Cercocebus atys (sooty mangabey). Its description in RNAcentral is "miRNA (ENSCATG00000016355.1)". The record is from RNAcentral. Lineage: Eukaryota; Metazoa; Chordata; Mammalia; Primates; Cercopithecidae.